This 403-nucleotide ribosomal RNA is filed under the name Chloroflexota bacterium. RNAcentral's name for it is "Chloroflexi bacterium partial 16S ribosomal RNA". It matches the Rfam family "Bacterial small subunit ribosomal RNA", at positions 355 to 776 of the family's 1533-position model. Lineage: Bacteria; Bacillati; Chloroflexota. The record is from RNAcentral.
UGGGGAAUAUUGCACAAUGGGGGAAACCCUGAUGCAGCGACGCCGCGUGAACGAAGAAGGUAUUCGUAUCGUAAAGUUCUGUCCUAUGGGAAGAUAAUGACAGUACCAUAGAAGAAAGCUCCGGCUAAAUACGUGCCAGCAGGCGCGGUAAUACGUAUGGAGCGAGCGUUGUCCGGAAUUAUUGGGCGUAAAGGGUACGCAGGCGGUUUAAUAAGUCGAAUGUUAAAGAUCGGGGCUCAACCCCGCAAAGCAUUGGAAACUGAUAAACUUGAGUAGUGGAGAGGAAAGUGGAAUUCCUAGUGUAGUGGUGAAAUACGUAGAUAUUAGGAGGAAUACCAGUAGCGAAGGCGACUUUCUGGACACAAACUGACGCUGAGGUACGAAAGCGUGGGGAGCAAACAGG